RNAcentral lists this long non-coding RNA (485 nucleotides) under Setaria italica (foxtail millet). Its description in RNAcentral is "long non-coding RNA (SITA_LNC002289)". The record is from RNAcentral. Lineage: Eukaryota; Viridiplantae; Streptophyta; Magnoliopsida; Poales; Poaceae.
UUAAAGAUCCAAACAACAUGGUACAAUACAACAACAUGAAGAUCCAAAUACACAUAUUUAAAUUAAAGUCCCAAACAACAUUAUACAAUACAACAAGCCAUCCACUGGUUAUUAUCAAGGAGAGGACUUUAAGCAUCCUUGGACGGUGAAGAUGAAGGUUCCGCUGACCCAACCUCAUCCUUAGGUUUAUUUGUGCCGCCUGAAACGGUAGUACUAAGUGGACGUGAAAUACCCGGGACUGAGGGUGGAGCAUAACGACCACCAAAAGGAGGUUCCUGACCCGCGGCAACAGCUUCUUCAUGACGUUGCUGCAAAUAACGAAGCAUUGCUUUUUCCAACGCGCUCUUUUUCUUCGGCUUAUGCUGAGGGCCAACUAUGAUUGGAACCUUGCCAUAAUAGGAACCACGAUCGCCCCCACCAUCGCCACUUCCUCCAGUAGCAGAAGCCAUCUAUGUACAAAAAUUAUUAUCUUAACACUGCAUAAG